AGAUCGGGAGGCUUUCAUUGGGAAGAAAGCCAGGAAUUGAUCGAGCUAAGCUAUCUCUUAUGGGCGUGCCGCCGGGACCCGACGGUUGGCGCA
This 93-nucleotide non-coding RNA is filed under the name unclassified sequences. The record is from Rfam.